RNAcentral lists this ribosomal RNA (512 nucleotides) under uncultured bacterium. Its description in RNAcentral is "bacterial SSU rRNA". It matches the Rfam family "Bacterial small subunit ribosomal RNA", at positions 60 to 616 of the family's 1533-position model. The record is from RNAcentral.
AGUCGAACGCGUGUAGCAAUACACGAGUGGCGGACGGGUGAGUAACGCGUGGGAACCUGCCCAGUGGUAGGGAAUAACCGCGGGAAACUGCGGCUAAUACCCUAUGAGCCCUACGGGGGAAAGAUUUAUCGCCAUUGGAGGGGCCCGCGUCGGAUUAGCUAGUUGGUAGGGUAAUGGCCUACCAAGGCGACGAUCCGUAGCUGGUCUGAGAGGAUGAUCAGCCACACUGGGACUGAGAUACGGCCCAGACUCCUACGGGAGGCAGCAGUGGGGAAUAUUGGACAAUGGGGGAAACCCUGAUCCAGCAAUGCCGCGUGAGUGAAGAAGGCCUUAGGGUUGUAAAGCUCUUUCGGCGGGGACGAUGAUGACGGUACCCGCAGAAGAAGCCCCGGCUAACUCCGUGCCAGCAGCCGCGGUAAUACGGAGGGGGCUAGCGUUGUUCGGAAUUACUGGGCGUAAAGCGCAUGUAGGCGGCGCGUCAAGUCGGGGGUGAAAGGCCUGGGCUCAACCCA